CGUGUGUUGGGGGAUAGCCUCGGUGUCAGCCAUCUUUCAAUUGUGUUCGCAGCCGCCGCCGCGCCGCCGUCGCUCUCUAACGCCAGCGCCGCCUCUAGCUCGCCGAGCUCCAGCCGAAGGAGAAGGGGGGUAAGUAAGGAGGUCCUAUACCAUGGCUCGUACAAAGCAGACUGCCCGCAAAUCGACCGGUGGUAAAGCACCGAGGAAGCAACUGGCUACAAAAGCCGCUCGCAAGAGUGCGCCCUCUACUGGAGGGGUGAAGAAACCUCAUCGUUACAGGCCUGGUACUGUGGCACUCCGUGAAAUUAGACGUUAUCAAAAGUCCACUGAACUUCUGAUUCGCAAACUUCCCUUCCAGCGUCUGGUGCGAGAAAUUGCUCAGGACUUCAAAACAGAUCUGCGCUUCCAGAGUGCAGCUAUUGGUGCUUUGCAGGAGGUAAGUGAGGCCUCUCUGGA
Long non-coding RNA from Pteropus alecto (black flying fox), 456 nucleotides. RefSeq lists it as uncharacterized. The transcript is spliced from 6 exons. NCBI's taxonomy places the organism in Eukaryota, Metazoa, Chordata, Mammalia, Chiroptera, Pteropodidae. The record is from RefSeq and is a predicted model, not a curated record.